UCCUAAAGGUUUGGUCCUGGCCUUCUUAUUAGUUACUAGUAGGCUUAUACAUGCAAGCAUCCGCACUCCAGUGAAAAUGCCCUUCUAAUCACAGUCUGACCAAAAGGAGCAGGUAUCAAGCACACAUUCGUAGCUCACAACACCUUGCAUAGCCACACCCCCACGGGAAACAGCAGUAAUAGAAAUUUAGCAAUUAACGAAAGUUAGACUAAGCCAUACUAUACUUAAGGGUUGGUCAAUUUCGUGCCAGCCACCGCGGUCAUACGAUUAACCCAAAUUAAUAAGCACCGGCGUAAAGCAUGUUUAAGAGACAAAAUCAAACUAAAGCCAAAUUCAAUUCAAGCCGUAAAAAGCCAACAAUUGUAAUAAAAUAAUCAACGAAAGUGGCUUUAUAACAUCUGAACACAUGAUAGCUAAGACACAAACUGGGAUUAGAUACCCCACUAUGCUCAGCCUUAAACCCCAGCAUCUAUUAACGAAGCUGUUCGCCAGAGAACUACCAGCAAAAGCUAAAAACUCAAAGGACUUGGCGGUGCUUCACACCCACCUAGAGGAGCCUGUCCAAUAAUCGAUAAACCCCGAUAAACCUCACCACCAUUUGCCUGCCCAGUCUAUAUACCGCCAUCUUCAGCAAACCCUUAAAAGGAAGUAAAGUAAGCACAACAAUAUCCAUAAAAAAGUUAGGUCAAGGUGUAGCUAAUAUGGUGGACUUAGAUGGGCUACAUUCUUUACACAUAAAGCAAUACGAAUGUUACCAUGAAAUUAGUAACUGAAGGAGGAUUUAGCAGUAAAUUAAGAAUAGAGAGCUUAAUUGAAUCAGGCCAUGAAGCACGCACACACCGCCCGUCACCCUCCUCAAGUACCUAAUUCUACUCAAUACAUAAACACAUAAAAAUUCAAGAGGAGACAAGUCGUAACAAGGUAAGCAUACUGGAAAGUGUGCUUGGAAAAACU
RNAcentral lists this non-coding RNA (954 nucleotides) under Procavia capensis (Cape rock hyrax). RNAcentral's name for it is "12S ribosomal RNA". It matches the Rfam family "Bacterial small subunit ribosomal RNA". The record is from RNAcentral. Lineage: Eukaryota; Metazoa; Chordata; Mammalia; Hyracoidea; Procaviidae.